AUUGAACGCUGGCGGCAGGCUUAACACAUGCAAGUCGAGCGGGGGAAGGUAGCUUGCUACCGGACCUAGCGGCGGACGGGUGAGUAAUGCUUAGGAAUCUGCCUAUUAGUGGGGGACAACAUCUCGAAAGGGAUGCUAAUACCGCAUACGUCCUACGGGAGAAAGCAGGGGAUCUUUGGACCUUGCGCUAAUAGAUGAGCCUAAGUCGGAUUAGCUAGUUGGUGGGGUAAAGGCCUACCAAGGCGACGAUCUGUAGCGGGUCUGAGAGGAUGAGCCGCCACACUGGGAAUGAGACACGGCCCAGACUCCUACGGGAGGCAGCAGUGGGGAAUAUUGGACAAUGGGGGGAACCCUGAUCCAGCCAUGCCGCGUGUGUGAAGAAGGCCUUAUGGUUGUAAAGCACUUUAGGCGAGGAGGAGGCUACUUUAGUUAAUACCUAGAGAUAGUGGACGUUACUCGCAGAAUAAGCACCGGCUAACUCUGUGCCAGCCGCCGCAGUAA
RNAcentral lists this ribosomal RNA (501 nucleotides) under uncultured bacterium. RNAcentral describes it as "partial 16S ribosomal RNA". It matches the Rfam family "Bacterial small subunit ribosomal RNA", at positions 30 to 523 of the family's 1533-position model. The record is from RNAcentral.